UUCGCAAUGCCCGAAAGGGUGACGAAGCGACGCCGCGUGGGUGAAGAAGGCCUUCGGGUUGUAAAGCCCUGUCAGGAGUUAUGAGAUGUAGGUACGAUAAUACCGUGCUUAUUUGACAAAGGCUCCAAAGGAAGCCACGGCUAACUCUGUGCCAGCAGCCGCGGUAAUACAGAGGUGGCAAGCGUUGUUCGGAAUUAUUGGGCGUAAAGAGCACGUAGGUGGGUUUGUAAGUCAGGUGUGAAAGCCUCCUGUUCAACGGGAGAAUUGCAUCUGAAACUACAGAUCUUGAGUAUAGGAGGGGAGAAUGGAACUUCUGUGGAGCGGUGAAAUGCGUAGAUAUCAGAAGGAACGCCGGCGGCGAAAGCGAUUCUCUGGCCUAUUACUGACACUCAGUGUGCGAAAGCUAGGGGAGCAAACGGGAUUAGAUACCCCGGUAGUCCUAGCCGUAAACGAUGGGCACUAAGUAGAGGGGUUUU
Molecule: ribosomal RNA, 476 nt
Filed under: Candidatus Scalindua brodae
Lineage: Bacteria; Pseudomonadati; Planctomycetota; Candidatus Brocadiia; Candidatus Brocadiales; Candidatus Scalinduaceae
Also listed under: 1 other name
Description: bacterial SSU rRNA
Rfam family: Bacterial small subunit ribosomal RNA
Source: RNAcentral